Anoplopoma fimbria (sablefish) is the source of this 1845-nucleotide long non-coding RNA. RefSeq lists it as uncharacterized. The transcript has 5 exons. Lineage: Eukaryota; Metazoa; Chordata; Actinopteri; Perciformes; Anoplopomatidae. The record is from RefSeq and is a predicted model, not a curated record.
AGGAGGACAGCUUGGACCACUGGAGGGCGGCAGAGUUCUGGACUUGACGAGAUUCUAUUUCAAUAUUAAAUGAAAACAUCAUUUUGUUCCUGGAUGAGUAUAAGAAAUACCAGCAGGGCAGUGCUCCUUCUGCCAAACAGAGGGAGAAAGCUCUCUCAAAGGUCAGCAGAGUCAAGUCCUUCAUUUUCUACAUGGACAUGAAGGACCUGAACACCUGGCUCUUUCUCUACAACAUGGAGGGCAUACGGAGCUACGCCAGCCACCUGACGGGGAUGAAGAAGACCAUCACCACGGCAACUUUACCUGCGUAACAUCUACCAGUUCUGCCAGUACCUCAAGGAGACCCCGCCCCCCCUCUGCCGACUCUCUCAGGUUAAACUGACCGCUGUGGUGAGGCCUGUGCGGUCAGCCAUCGCCAACCUCAACAGGCAGGUGGUGCUCCACCAGCUGAAGGUGAAGGCGGUAAAAAGGUCACGGCUGAUCUCUAGGGCCGGUCUACGGAGGUGCCAGGAGCCGGCCGCGGCCAAGGUCCCGGGGAUCCUGGACCAAAUGGAGGCCGACGACAGGCUCUCCCUGCGUUACACAUUUUAUGGGUAUUUCUCGGCUGGUGCUGGACGCUGGCUAAACAGAUGAGGGAGAAAUGCCAGAAAAUCGUCUCCUACCAGGAGUCGGGGUCCUCCUGCCUGGAGGAGGAGGCGCAGGAAAUGAGAGAAGAGGAGGAAUUCACUCUCCAGGUGGAAAAUACUCCAGUGAAGAACCCGACGGUGGCCAAGAUGCUUCAGGCUACAGUGAGGCUCAGCCCGCUGCAGAAAGGGGAGGGGCUACCUCGAAGAGGCCAAAGAUCUCUAAAAGGGCACCGAGGUCAAAGCUCAGACCGCAACGGAAGUGAUGGACAGCCCACUAAGAAGCACACACACACACACACACACACACACACACACACACACACACACACACACACACACACACACACACACACACACACACACACACACACACUCUUAAUAUGUUAAUAGAUUGUUAUUUCCUUUUUUUGGUUGGUCUGAUUAUAUUCAAUAAAUAAGAUUUUAGAAUAUGAUGGUUCUACUGCUUAUUACAUUUGAUUUAUAAGGAAAGAAACUGACAUUUUGAAUCCAUUCACCGACUAUGUGAAGACGUUGAUUAAACGUUCACGUUUAGACCAUAUUUCACCGUGAUCCGUAAGAAAUGUGGACGUCGUUUCUGAGUUGGGCUCUUAUAUGAUGAUAUACCAUUAUUAGCAUAAUGCAGAGAACUAAAAAUAUCAUUAUUGCAAAUCCCACUGAAAUGUGGUCUAAACGUGAACGUUCAAUCAACGUCUUCAAAUAGUCACUUUUGAACCAAUUCUGAACGUCUUUUAGACAUAAACGUAUUUUAAACGUCUUUUGGGCCUCAAACUGCUCACAGUGAAAUAUGUAGCAUUAAAUACGUCGUCAUAGUAACACAUUAACAGUUUACAAUGACAGGACAAAGAAGACCAUCUGACACAGGCAACAAUUCAUUUGUUUUUAUUCAUAUAAAAUCUCCCGUUUCUUCUUUAAAUGUCGUUGUCAAAGCCUCCAGGAGCCGGUUUCAGAUGAUCGGCCAUAUUUCAGAUGUCUGUAAAUUAAACAAGAAUUAGAAAAACAUAUUCACUCUUGAACCCAUUCCACAUUAUAAUACUUUAUAUUGUUUGUAAGUUGCUCUAUGCCAAACAACAAUGUUUCUGACCGUCUUCUUGUUUGUACAUCAAUGUAUUUUACUCACUUCCUCCCAUUUAAACUGUGUACCUCCCCAUUUAAACUGUGUACCUCCCCAUUUAAACUGUGUACCUCCCCAUUUAAACUG